Molecule: ribosomal RNA, 281 nt
Filed under: uncultured bacterium
Lineage: Bacteria
Description: partial 16S ribosomal RNA
Rfam family: Bacterial small subunit ribosomal RNA
Source: RNAcentral
GACGAACGCUGGCGGCGUGCUUAACACAUGCAAGUCGAACGGUUCACGUCUUUCGGGGCGUGGAGAGUGGCGGACGGCUGAGUAACACGUGGGUGACCUGCCCUCGAGCGGGGGAUAACUGCCCGAAAGGGUGGCUAAUACCGCAGAUCUCCGUGCUUCGGUGUGCGGAGUGAACGUUCCGGGGUUCGAGGAGGGGCCCGCGGCCUAUCAGCUUGUUGGUGGGGUGAUGGCCUACCAAGGCGACGACGGGUAGCCGGCCUGAGAGGGCGACCGGCCACACU